GUGAAACGAAAAUGCAUGUUUCUCACUUUGUAUUUGCCCUCUUGAUUGGUGUUCAUUACUGCGGACGGACGAGGACACCAAGUCCAACGCGUUGGUGAAAUUAAGGGUUGCAAAUCCACAAGUUAAUUGUCUGUGACACACUCAAGACGUCCAUGCUGGUCAGAGCAGUGCCCUGCAUAUUCUUAUUUUUCUUUCUAAACAUGGCUCAAGAAGACAAAGAGAAGACAACUGCUCUGAAAGAUUUACUGUCAAGGAUAGAUCUCGAUGAGCUGAUGAAGAAAGAUGAGCCUCCCCUCACCUUCCCAAAGACGCUGGAGGAAUUUGAGUAUGCCUUUAAUGAACGUGGGCAGUUAAGACACACCAAGACUGGCGAGGCCUUCAUCUUCAACUACAGAGAGGACCUGCACCGAUGGAACCAGAAGCGAUACGAAGCUCUGGG
Molecule: long non-coding RNA, 439 nt
Organism: Alosa sapidissima (American shad)
Lineage: Eukaryota; Metazoa; Chordata; Actinopteri; Clupeiformes; Clupeidae
Exons: 4
Source: RefSeq, a predicted model, not a curated record